This 296-nucleotide unclassified non-coding RNA is filed under the name Cercozoa sp. RNAcentral describes it as "partial contains small subunit ribosomal RNA, internal transcribed spacer 1, and 5.8S ribosomal RNA". The stretch from base 1 to 47 matches the Rfam family "Eukaryotic small subunit ribosomal RNA", at positions 1785 to 1831 of the family's 1831-position model. Lineage: Eukaryota; Cercozoa. The record is from RNAcentral.
AAAGUCGUAACAAGGUUUCCGUAGGUGAACCUGCGGAAGGAUCAUUAUCACGUAUCCACGUAUAAACCAUUGUGAACCGUUCUAUUACCUUUGUUGGUUGAUGAAUGAAGCUAGAGCGUUCUCUCCGGAGUCGCUUCAGUGGAGUUUAUUUUUACCGCAAAGUGUAUUAACUUUAUAUUAACCAUUAUAACCCAAUCUUUAUAACUUUUAUGAACUAAUUUUUAUUUUAUACUCUUCGGAGAUAAAAUUCAUUACGAAACAAAGAACAACUCUUAGCAACGGAUAUCUUGGUUCUC